This 72-nucleotide transfer RNA is filed under the name Camelus bactrianus (Bactrian camel). It matches the Rfam family "tRNA". From Rfam's summary of the family: Transfer RNA (tRNA) molecules are approximately 80 nucleotides in length. Their secondary structure includes four short double-helical elements and three loops (D, anti-codon, and T loops). RNAcentral also lists the same sequence under 2 other names. The record is from Rfam by way of RNAcentral. Lineage: Eukaryota; Metazoa; Chordata; Mammalia; Artiodactyla; Camelidae.
GGGGGUAUAGCUCAGUCUUAGAUCACAUGCUUAGCAUGCAUGAGGUCCUGGGUUCAAUCCCCAGUACCUCCA